AGAGUUUGAUCAUGGCUCAGAUUGAACGCUGGCGGCAGGCCUAACACAUGCAAGUCGAGCGGAUGAAGUGAGCUUGCUCAUGGAUUCAGCGGCGGACGGGUGAGUAAUGCCUAGGAAUCUGCCUGGUAGUGGGGGACAACGUUCCGAAAGGGGCGCUAAUACCGCAUACGUCCUACGGGAGAAAGUGGGGGAUCUUCGGACCUCACGCUAUCAGAUGAGCCUAGGUCGGAUUAGCUAGUUGGUGGGGUAAUGGCUCACCAAGGCGACGAUCCGUAACUGGUCUGAGAGGAUGAUCAGUCACACUGGAACUGAGACACGGUCCAGACUCCUACGGGAGGCAGCAGUGGGGAAUAUUGGACAAUGGGCGAAAGCCUGAUCCAGCCAUGCCGCGUGUGUGAAGAAGGUCUUCGGAUUGUAAAGCACUUUAAGUUGGGAGGAAGGGCAGUAAGCGAAUACCUUGCUGUUUUGACGUUACCAACAGAAUAAGCACCGGCUAACUCUGUGCCAGCAGCCGCGGUAAUAC
Molecule: ribosomal RNA, 523 nt
Filed under: uncultured bacterium
Lineage: Bacteria
Description: bacterial SSU rRNA
Rfam family: Bacterial small subunit ribosomal RNA
Source: RNAcentral